GCGCCGGCGGCGGGCGCGGGCGGCGAGCGCUGCGGGCCGUGCCAGGCGCCGCGCGCCGCCUGCCUGUGCCGGGACGACGGGAAAAAAGCGUGGGAAUUCGAGGAGGGCCGCUGGGUGUGCGGGUUCCCGGACGCGGCGUUCGCGCUGGCCGCCAGCCUGCUGCAGCCGCUGCCGGCCGCGCGGCCCUCCGCUGCCGCCGCGCUGCAGCACCCCUUCUUGGCGCGCGACUGGGGCCGCCCGCCCGCUGCCGGCCGCUAGCCCCAGCCUGCUGCAGCCGCUGCCGGCCGCUAGUCCCAGCCUGCUGCAGCCGCUGCCCGCCGCUAGUCCCAGCCUGCUGCAGCCGCUGCCGGCCGCGCGGCCCUCCGCCGCCGCCGCCGACACACGCUAGCCGCCUCUGUCUCUCCUUUACACAACAAAAGAGACGUAAAACAUGAUUCUGACCGCUUCGAUACGAUUGUAGGAUCGCGUUCGACGACUUCUGUGCUUGACUCGAUUAAGAGGACCAGUGUCAUAUUUAUGGUUCGUCGAUCGAACUUGGACCCUGUGCUUUUAAGCUUGCGCUGCAGAUAGAAAAGUGACGCGACGCGAUGUGCUGCCUUAACCCUUAACCAGGCUCUGGUAUCCACAGAGCCCACAUCAAUUUGAACUUUAUGCCGUGAAGAUACAAUUGAAAAUCAAUAACUUUUUUUAGGCCUGGUUAAGGGUUAAAUCAUCAUCACACCUUCAAUAACUACAGAGUUGGUGAUGCUGAGUACAUCAAUGAAAUUUUAUGCUGUGGUAAAUUAAGAUCUAUAUUAAUAAUAAUAAGCAACAUUAUCGGUCUUCCAUGCCACUCUACAGUCUAAUGCAAAUGAGGUAUUUGAAACAUCUUAUUUUAUUUAAUCAUUUACGUACAGUCACCAUUCAUUAAUUCGAAUGUUUAAUUUCAAAAUAUUGAUGAAUUGGUCAUGUCAUGAUUGAGACAGCACAUGAAUUUAGUAUAAAAAUGAUAUAUGCAAGUUUGCUUCUUCUUGUCGGUAUAAAUUACACACAGCUGCCACUCAGCUUUGAUUUUUUGGUUACCCCGUUAGUCUUAGUUAAAGAGUAUUAUUCUAUUUAUCACAUAUCGCCCUAGUGUAGUAAUACUAUACAUUUAAAUAAAGAGCUCGCCUAAAUCUUACAAACUGAACAAUGAACAAGUGUUGCCAAAGUAAGUUAAUAUUUUAGGGUGUAACUUAAUUCUGUGAUCUGUUGUCUCUUUUUCUCGUUCAUAAAUGUUAUUUUCAUUUUACAAUUUUAUAAAUGCUUUGUGUAAUGUUUUUCAAAGACUAACAGUAAUAAUACACAUUGGAUCCAAUUCUGUGAAGCCAAUCUUAUUUAAAUAUAUUGAGCUUUAGAACUCAUUGUAGACUACUCUACGUAGGCGUAUUGUAACCAAUGUGCAUUUUAUUGUGCAGCUCUAGUCGGGCUCCUCACUGAAGGGACGCUCGACCUACGCGUCCACUCUUGCGCAUAGGAUCUCAAUUAUUUAUUGUAAAGAGUACAAAGUAGUUUAGUAACCGAGCCUGUAGCAUGAGUAAAUUGCACCAACAGUAAACCUAAGGUAAAUUUUAUCAGCGCUACUCCUGUUUUAGGAAAUAAUGAGAAUUUAUAAACAAGUGUACAGAAGCUUGAUUUCAAAAUUAUUCCUGCUACAGGCCAAGACUUUAUCUUAAGCCGCCCGGCACUAGCUGACCUUAAAUUGUUAUUAAGUGCCUUCAAGCUGUGUUCAGAAUUAAGAACUUUUGUUACCAUUGUUAACCAAUAAAUUAAUAACAUACCUGUUA
Ostrinia furnacalis (Asian corn borer) is the source of this 1805-nucleotide long non-coding RNA. RefSeq lists it as uncharacterized. The record is from RefSeq and is a predicted model, not a curated record. The transcript is spliced from 2 exons. NCBI's taxonomy places the organism in Eukaryota, Metazoa, Arthropoda, Insecta, Lepidoptera, Crambidae.